RNAcentral lists this ribosomal RNA (253 nucleotides) under uncultured bacterium. RNAcentral's name for it is "partial 16S ribosomal RNA". It matches the Rfam family "Bacterial small subunit ribosomal RNA", at positions 524 to 776 of the family's 1533-position model. The record is from RNAcentral.
UACGUAGGGCGCAAGCGUUAUCCGGAAUUAUUGGGCGUAAAGAGCUCGUAGGCGGUUUGUCGCGUCUGCCGUGAAAGUCCGGGGCUCAACUCCGGAUCUGCGGUGGGUACGGGCAGACUAGAGUGAUGUAGGGGAGACUGGAAUUCCUGGUGUAGCGGUGAAAUGCGCAGAUAUCAGGAGGAACACCGAUGGCGAAGGCAGGUCUCUGGGCAGUAACUGACGCUGAGGCUCGAAAGCGUGGGGAGCAAACAGG